Molecule: long non-coding RNA, 440 nt
Filed under: Taeniopygia guttata (zebra finch)
Lineage: Eukaryota; Metazoa; Chordata; Aves; Passeriformes; Estrildidae
Description: lncRNA (ENSTGUG00000029665.1)
Source: RNAcentral
ACACAUUUUCCUAACAAAUACUUUGCAUUUUGCAGAUUCUUCAGCAGGACCAGUGGCUUGUGUGGGAGCCAGAGCACUCGAGACAGAGCAGGAUGACGGAGCUGUGGGCCUGGGCACUAUCCAGAGUGUUCCACAGGUCCCCAGUCUGCAUUGCAUCCCACAGGGCCCCCAACAGCCCUGCCGUGCCCGUCAGGGUGACCCAGAGGUCCCAGGACCAAGAGCCAAAUACCAGAGAGGCAUCGCACAAUGGAAGUGCGCAGAAUGUCAACUUGUAUAACCCAGCUGGAGGUUUGCAGACAAAUAGAGAGGCAUGGUCCAAGGAACAGGAAGUGGAGAAAGGCAUUAAAAAUUUAACCUACAUUGAAAGACUGAAGGAGCGUGUCAAGAAAGGUCAGUCUCUGUGUGUGGGAUGGAAGAGACAAAGCUCCUGGAUUUCUCAC